UACGAAGGGGGCUAGCGUUGCUCGGAAUCACUGGGCGUAAAGCGCACGUAGGCGGUUUCCUAAGUCGGUGGUGAAAUCCUGGAGCUCAACUCCAGAACUGCCUCCGAUACUGAGAGACUCCGAGUCCGGGAGAGGUGAGUGGAACUGCGAGUGUAGAGGUGAAAUUCGUAGAUAUUCGCAAGAACACCAGUGGCGAAGGCGGCUCACUGGUCCAAUCCUGACGCUGAGGUGCGAAAGCUAGGGGAGCAAACGGG
This 254-nucleotide ribosomal RNA is filed under the name uncultured prokaryote. Its description in RNAcentral is "partial 16S ribosomal RNA". It matches the Rfam family "Bacterial small subunit ribosomal RNA", at positions 524 to 776 of the family's 1533-position model. The record is from RNAcentral.